AGUGAACGCUGGCGGUAGGCCUAACACAUGCAAGUCGAACGGCAGCACGGGAGAGCUUGCUCUCUGGGUGGCGAGUGGCGGACGGGUGAGGAAUACAUCGGAAUCUACUUUUUCGUGGGGGAUAACGUAGGGAAACUUACGCUAAUACCGCAUACGACCUACGGGUGAAAGCAGGGGAUCUUCGGACCUUUCGCGAUUGAAUGAGCCGAUGUCGGAUUAGCUAGUUGGCGGGGUAAAGGCCCACCAAGGCGACGAUCCGUAGCUGGUCUGAGAGGAUGAUCAGCCACACUGGAACUGAGACACGGUCCAGACUCCUACGGGAGGCAGCAGUGGGGAAUAUUGGACAAUGGGCGCAAGCCUGAUCCAGCCAUACCGCGUGGGUGAAGAAGGCCUCCGGGUUGUAAAGCCCUUUUGUUGGGAAAGAAAUCCAGCUGGUUAAUACCCGGUUGGGAUGACGGUACCCAAAGAAUAAGCACCGGCUAACUUCGUGCCAGCAGCCGCCGUAA
Molecule: ribosomal RNA, 506 nt
Filed under: uncultured bacterium
Lineage: Bacteria
Description: partial 16S ribosomal RNA
Rfam family: Bacterial small subunit ribosomal RNA
Source: RNAcentral